Corvus hawaiiensis (hawaiian crow) is the source of this 2124-nucleotide long non-coding RNA. RefSeq lists it as uncharacterized. The transcript is spliced from 4 exons. Lineage: Eukaryota; Metazoa; Chordata; Aves; Passeriformes; Corvidae. The record is from RefSeq and is a predicted model, not a curated record.
AGGAGGUGGGGAGACCAUCCUGCAGGCCAGAGCCACUGCCAUCCCCAUCAUAUAUUCUGUUGACAGCCUGCUUCAAGCCUGAGGGCUCUCUCUCGACCCUGAAGAAGCCUUGAGUCAGAUCUGGAUAGUUCUGUUGGUCUGUUGUUGAACCUCAACCUGUUAACAGGUUCAGUGGCACUUUGAUAUGAAUUGGAGCCAGGGAAAUGUUAUAUUGAAAUCUGUUUAUUUCUUUUCUAUGAUGAUAAAAGAUGAACAGUGCAUAAAGCUUUGUUCCCUCUCUAGUGCAGGAGGUUAACAACAAACUCAAUUUCACCCGAGAUCAGCCAAGAAGAAGCGGAUUUUUUCCUUUGAAGCCUAAACAUUGAUCAUGAAAUAAAUGAUACUAUUACUUUCUUCAGGUGCAUGGAGGGAGUCUUUGUAGCCACAACGUAAGAGAUGUCCUAUUUUUUCUUGGUUAUUUCAUGUUGUACAAAGCAACUACUCCUAUUUAUAACGCGUGAAAUAUUAUAGCCACUGGAGUUUUCUGCCUGGCUGAUUCUGCAUUAAUUUACAAUGAACAUUAGUCUUGUGAUUUAUGGACUGCCAGAUUCCCUGAGUAAAAUAACUUCCUUGAAGAAAGCUUCUCACCCACAGGAUGGCUCAGACAGACAGUUUCACUUGUCUCUGCCAGCUCCAGCCUGGGAUCUUGAAAGAAGAAAAGGGGCAGGCAGGAUGUGGCAGGUGAAACAGCAAUUUUUGCACAGCAGACGGCAUUUGCUUUGGGUAAAAAGUCUAGCAUGGGCUCACCCUUCUGUCUUGUUACUUCCAGGUGCCUCCCUUGGAUGCAUGGGGUCUGUCCAGCCCCAAAGAGAAACUACAGGUACUGGAAACACAGGAGCUCAAGUAAAGCAAGAGUUCUGUGAGGAAGCUCCUUGGGUCAUCGGCUGUGGAGCUGACACGCCUGUGCAGGUGGGAAAGGGAGAGCUGGGCAGGUGAGUGAUCAACUCCACUUGGCCAAACCCCUGCAAUGGAAAAUGAAGAAGAUCUGGCAUCCGUUUGCCAACAUAAUGAGAAAUAAAGGGCUGGGCCCAACUUUUCCAGAAGGAAAAAGUAUCCAGUUUGCAUAAGAAAAACAGAUCUAUGUCUAAACCAAGUAUCUCCCCAAAGAGAAGGUCUGGAUUUAUUCAACCAUUCCCAAAAGGCAGAACAGCUGGUCACACAGGUAUGCAGCAGUCCCUAAACCUGAUCUCUGCUGAGGUCAGCAGUCAACAGGGUGGGGUCAAGGCUUUCUGGUGGUAUCUUUCUAGUGGUAUUGGGUAAAUAUAUCUCCAUAUGAUGACUAGUGACCAACAGACAAUAACCAAGUGUAUAUUUUUAUUGACUAAUUAAUUAAUUACAUGGCUCUCACUUAGAGGAGCUCUCAGGCUGAGUAUGUGAGCAGGCUGGCAUGUACAUUUGAGCUGGCUGAGGUUUGCACUGUGGCAGCUGCAGCAGCAUGCUGAUGCCUGCGUUGCUUUCCUCACACCCUGCACGUACCUUCUCCCAAUCCAAGUACUUUGACAUUCCAGCGUGCUGCCUCAAAGCCAACCAAGCUGACAGUGUUGACAAGAUGGUUGUGUUUGACCCCACUGGCUGCAGGACAUGCACCACCCCAGUCUCUCCUCAAUCUGCCCCCCAUCACUGUGAUAGUGAAGCACUGAUUAAUGACCCCAGUGGAAGUGUGGGACCUUGUGUGGUGUGGAACUGAAUGCUUCGGAGAGCCCCUGGGUUUCUGAGCUGAGGCAAUGCUGAAGGUGGUUUUCUGCUGCCCUUGGACCCUUUGAUAAACAAAAAUGUUGUUCUUUGAGUCUCUUGAGUGGGAUGUCUGUGUGUACAUAUGCAAAUAAGUUGAUAAGAACUAAUAAUCAGCCACUUUUUGACUUUAGCAAUAAAGGAGAGUAUGUGCAUUGCAUGUGAGGCUGGUACCUGCUGAGACAACUCUCUUGGUUUUUGUAUUUCUUAGGAAUUUUUGAUGUCUCCUGCUGAUAGCGUUAAAAAAUCAGAAGGGAAUUGCACAGGCAGUGCUGCCAGACAUACAAAUGGAGAUGUUACUUUGCAGGAAAAAUGUGUGAUGCUGGGGUACAUUUGCACAUUCUGUCAGUCAUU